GUUGUUAUUGAUCGAUCACGAGGAUACUCUUAUACUAGUUACUACUCUCUUACACUUACGCACUCAAGUCUAGAUUAACCAGCCACAUUAGGUAUGAUUGAUUCCAGUUUCUGGACUAAUGUUACAACUUACAAGCAAAGUUUGAACAACUCUGUUACACCUAUCUAGCUAUUCCAGCAAUUCUCUUAAGUCUAAACAAACCAACUUAUAAGUCUAUUUAGCUUACGACGACACAACUAGAUGAAUGGGCCAGACUAAACCUGAUAGACAUUUCUUUAUUGGACCAGAACCAAAUCUGCAAGGCCCAUCCCCAUCUCUUUCACCAAUCUAUCAGGUUUUCACUUGUUGACUUCUAUUUGGCGUUGACUCCUUCGCUUUGCUUCUUCUGCUCCGACGCCUCUUCUUCUUUUCCCUUUUGCGCUUUGCGUCUUCUCCUCUUCUUCCUUCUUCUUACUCUUAUCAUUGAAGCUUUCUCUUAUUGCAGGUUGAAUCAUGGUUCAACUCCAAUACUCCCUCUUUAAACUUUGGUUGAAACUCCCAAAUCAGUAUAAGGAUUUUGACAUCGACGUGGUGCUUUCUUAACCGGAAACAACGACGAAUCACCACCUUCUACGGCGAGCAUCUCUCUCCGCGUAGGUAUUCUUUCAACUUAUGGCUAAACAAACCUUAAAAUCGUUUCCAAACACGCAGACCGUUGGAAGUAGGAUUGAGUUUUGUUGGAGAAGGAUCCUUAGAAGAAAGAAAUUAGCCAUGGAUCGAUGACCCGAAGCUGUCCAACGGAGAUCCCAUCCCACCGGGUGAAUUCAAAGGCUAUGCCGUGAACUAGGAUGAUUCAGAGGAGCUAUCACUAUACUCAGGAAUCAGGUACAAUUGAUUUCGGUUUGGUUUUUAAUGGUUUUCGAAUUACAAUUGAUUUUGGUUUGGUUUAAAUUGGUU
Molecule: long non-coding RNA, 936 nt
Filed under: Capsella grandiflora
Lineage: Eukaryota; Viridiplantae; Streptophyta; Magnoliopsida; Brassicales; Brassicaceae
Description: long non-coding RNA (CGRA_LNC001158)
Source: RNAcentral